UUUAUACAACGGAGAGUUUGAUCCUGGCUCAGGAUGAACGCUAGCGGCAGGCCUAACACAUGCAAGUCGAACGGUAACAUAAGAGCUUGCUCUUGAUGACGAGUGGCGCACGGGUGAGUAACGCGUAUGCAAUCUACCUAUAACUGAGGGAUAGCCCAGAGAAAUUUGGAUUAAUACCUCAUAAUAAUAUUUUUUGGCAUCAUUAAAUAUUUAAAACUCCGGUGGUUAUAGAUGAGCAUGCGUUCUAUUAGUUUGUUGGUGAGGUAAAAGCUCACCAAGACUACGAUAGAUAGGGGGCCUGAAAGGGUGAUCCCCCACACUGGUACUGAGACACGGACCAGACUCCUACGGGAGGCAGCAGUGAGGAAUAUUGCACAAUGGAGGAAACUCUGAUGCAGCCAUGCCGCGUGCAGGAUGACGGCCCUAUGGGUUGUAAACUGCUUUUUUACAAGAAGAAACCUUGGUACGUGUACCAACUUGACGGUAUUGUAAGAAUAAGCACCGGCUAACUCCGUGCCAGCAGCCGCGGUAAUACGGAGGGUGCAAGCGUUAUCCGGAUUUAUUAGGUUUAAAGGGUUCGCAGGCGGAAUUUUAAGUCAGUGGUGAAAGCCUAUAGCUCAACUAUAGAACUGCCAUUGAUACUGAAAUUCUUGAGUAUAGAUGAAGUGGGCGGAAUAUGUCAUGUAGCGGUGAAAUGCAUAGAUAUGACAUGGAACACCAAUUGCGAAGGCAGCUCACUAAACUAUUACUGACGCUCAUGAACGAAAGCAUGGGGAGCGAACAGGAUUAGAUACCCUGGUAGUCCAUGCUGUAAACUAUGAUCACUAGAUGUUGGCGAUAUAUUGUCAGUGUUUUAGAGAAAUCGUUAAGUGAUCCACCUGGGGAGUACGUUCGCAAGAAUGAAACUCAAAGGAAUUGACGGGGGCCCGCACAAGCGGUGGAGCAUGUGGUUUAAUUCGAUGAUACGCGAGGAACCUUACCA
This 982-nucleotide ribosomal RNA is filed under the name Flavobacteriales bacterium. RNAcentral describes it as "bacterial SSU rRNA". It matches the Rfam family "Bacterial small subunit ribosomal RNA", at positions 1 to 976 of the family's 1533-position model. Lineage: Bacteria; Pseudomonadati; Bacteroidota; Flavobacteriia; Flavobacteriales. The record is from RNAcentral.